RNAcentral lists this ribosomal RNA (93 nucleotides) under Psychrobacillus psychrotolerans. The record is from RNAcentral. Lineage: Bacteria; Bacillati; Bacillota; Bacilli; Caryophanales; Bacillaceae.
CACACCCGUUCCCAUACCGAACACGGAAGUUAAGCUCUUCAGCGCCGAUGGUAGUUGGGGGUUUCCCCCUGUGAGAGUAGGACGUCGCUGGGC